RNAcentral lists this ribosomal RNA (400 nucleotides) under uncultured bacterium. RNAcentral's name for it is "partial 16S ribosomal RNA". It matches the Rfam family "Bacterial small subunit ribosomal RNA", at positions 360 to 774 of the family's 1533-position model. The record is from RNAcentral.
AAUAUUGCACAAUGGGGGAAACUCUGAUGCAGCAACGCCGCUUGAAGUUUGUAGGUUUUCGGCUCGUAAACGUCUAUCAGUCGGGACGAAAUAAAUGACGGUACCUAACUAAGAAGCCCCGGCUAUCUAGGUGCCAGCAGCCGCGGUAACACGUAGGGGGCAAGCGUUAUCCGGAAUCACGGGGUGUAAAGGGUGCGUAGGCGGCAAUGUAAGUCAGAUGUGAAAUCCCGGGGCUCAACCCAGGGCGUGCAUUUGAAACUGCAUAGCUAGAGUGCAGGAGAGGAAAGUGGAAUUCCUAGUGUAGCGGUGAAAUGCGUAGAUAUUAGGAGGAACACCAGUGGCGAAGGCGACUUUCUGGACUGUAACUGACGCUGAUGCACGAAAGCGUGGGGAGCAAACA